CGUCCCGGGGCCGGCGGGCGGCUCAGGCCUGCAGUCCCCGGCCUCCGGGAGUGGGAGUGGGCGCCGAUUCCUUGGGGGCCCGGCGGGGGGCUGGUUCCUCGGGGGUCCCCGCAGCGAGCAGGGGCCGCAGGUGCCCGGGAGGCCUGGACUCGCGCCGCGGCCAAGGGGGAGGGAGUUGCCCUUAGAAGACGGAACUCCUGUGGUGGGGAUCUGAAGAGCCUCAGCCGGUAUCCCCCACGACCCGGAGAAUCUGUGCUCUUACACUGCAAGAGCUAUCUCACGUGAAGGAUCUUAGGUUGUUAAUGUGUGUGAAUCCUAGAACCUGGCAUAUACAGAGCUUUUCGGAUCCUGCAGAGUAGUGAAGUUAUCCGUAUGGGCAAAAUGGUUUUUUUAAUUCUUGAAUUAACCGAGAAGACGCGAUAGAGUGAGUUUUAUAGAUUUAGGAAUCGAAGAAGCAGUUUUUUUAAAGGAAGCAAAAUUCUUAGGGAAAUUUUUAAAAAUGUGAACUAGUUAGUAGUUUUACAAGUAGGCACACAAGAAGUUGUAAUUAUCUGUAGAACGUGUGUAUGUGAUGAGACUGAACAAUGUUUUUCAACAGGCAUUCGAAAGCAUUUGUGGAACUUGUGGAUUUGGGUUGGGAGAUGAGUAUUGAACAGCUGGUAGGCAGAAGUGCGUAUUUGCGCUAAUCUGAAGCCCUGGAGGAGCAAGCCCUAUAGGUUUAAAGCCUUCUUUAUCAUAUCUGCUUUUGAAACAGAAGACUUCCUAGAAGUUCUUAUCUAAUGUAUGUGGUGAGCAUUAAUGCUACUCUGUUUAAUGAUUCAUAGCUGCUAGUAGGAAUCUGUCUAAACAGCAUAUUAGGAACAGGUUUUAAGCUUUCAUCUUUUAUAUUGAUCCAAGCUAGUUAUCCACAUCUCCAAAACUUAAAGCCACAUGUAUAGGUGUAUGUAGUGGACUGCAGAGCAUUGGACCAGGGUUUUGAGGGCUGAGUCCUUGACCCUACUCUGCUGUUAACCAGCAACGUGACUUUGGGUCAGGCUCUUUCCCUUUUCAAGCAUAAGUAUGUUCAUCCACAGAAUGAAAGCAAGUUUCUUCCAACAACAAUUCUGUGAAGUAUAAAAUUGUCCACACACAGGCCUCUGUUUUAGAAGUUAAGUCUGCAUUAACUAUGACUAAGUUGAACGAGUUCGAUCUUUUUAAAUGUUCUUGUGUUUUAUAUUGCUUUUUUAAAGGUGGGAUGUCUUACGUGCCAGUGAAGGGCAAUGAGGAGUCCCAAAUUCGUUCUGUUGAAAAGGGACAAAUAGUAAAUAUUUUGGGCUUUGCUGGCCGUAUAUGCUCUCUGUUGCAUAUUCUUCUUUAUGUGUUUACAAAACACAAAAAUGUAAAACCAUUCUUAGCUCAGAGACAUACAAAACAGAGCCUGUAGUCUGCUAACGAAGGGUGCUGGUAGUGUGGUCUAUGGUACUCUCCUCUUACAGCUUUGGAGUAGAACUUAAAGAUCUGGUCAGAACAUGCUCAUUAAUGAUACUCUUUUUGCUCCUUUUGAAGAAAUAACAAAGUAUACCUUCAAGUUAGGAUCUAAAUAAAAUUAAGAAAAAGCCUUCUCUGUUCUAUUUUGGUUUGUCUUUGGGGUGAGAAGGAGUUGAAAUAAAACUUUCAAUCUUUUUAAUGGUACACAAAGACUUUCGAACUUGAAAUGUAAUUUUUAGGACAGACACAUUUGCAUUAAUGAAUCUUUACUUGAAACAUGUUUAAUCCAAUGCAAGUUAUUUUUAUGUUUUGCUCAAUUUUAUUAACAUUCAAAAAAUAAAUUUCCAUUGCCUUUUGGCAUAAAGAGAGAACUUAAAUAUUCAGGGUUCAGUUACAAGUUGGAACUCUCUGAAAGCAGAACUCUUACAGUAAUGUAUACUAAAUAGCAAUCUAGAUAUCUUGGAGGCAAUUUACUUAAAAAUUGAUCUAAGACAUAGAAAUAUGAGACAAAAGGAAAAUAUGUGCUUGAUUCUCUUAAGGGAGUUUGGGAUUGUCUGAAAACACGGUCCUCCAUUGCUUUCUAAGUGGGAAACAUUUGGGGCAGCUCAUAUCUAAUGCUUAGUUCUCUACUUAACACUGGGCUAGGCAUUGCAGGCAUCAGAAGAGGAGUAAGAAGCUCUUAAGGAUCUUGUCAAUUAUAGGAGUACUCAUGUAUAACAUAAGGUAGAAUGUAUGCCAUAGGAGAGGUGCCAAGUGUUAUGAAAUACUAAGGAGGUAUGACCAAGAAAGGCUUUUUGACUUAAUUCAGAUGGACUUUAAAUUAGAGUGGAGUGAGGGGAGUGGAAUUAUGAGGGCUUCCAGGCAGAGAAAAAAUGUGAUCAAAAGUGGAAAGUGUAGGAGCCUUUUCAAGGACUAGUGUUUUCAGGAUAACAGAACAUAAAAUUAGAAAGAGGCCAUAUUAGGAAAGACUCUGAAGAAGGGCAGCAGAUACGAUAUUUCAGCAAGCAAUGGAGACCCGUUGAAAAGUUUUUGACUUUGAGUGGCAGAAAGGGUAAGGAAUGACACUCUUUCAGUGGUCUGGAUUGGGUGCUAGGUCAUGAACAUCCAGCCAGGGUGACAGCAGUAGAAUAGAAAGGGAGAGACUGGAUAUGUUAUUGAAGGACUGCUGGGUAGCCACUAUAUGAGGUGCUUUGUGGAAUAAUGUUUAAUUGAGGCCAGACUAUCAAGGUUGGAUGGAGAGCUUUGAACUAAUUGUGUAGGUAACAGGGAGUGGUAGGUUUAAGAGAAAUGACUCAUAAAGCAGUGCUUUAGGAGUCGUUUGUCAGGGCCACGGGAAUUAGAGGAAUAAAACUGUAGACUUAACUUGGGGGCUGAUUUUGUAUGGCAGAUACGAAGUGAGAAACUGGGUCAGUGGUACUCAAACAUGGGAAUGAGGGUGACAGUGGGGAAGAGGCAUUUGGCAGUGUCUAAAGACGUUUUUGAUUGUCAUAACUAGAAGGGAGAGAGCAGUUCUACUGGCAUCUAGUGGGUAGAGGCCAGAAAUGUUGCCAAACAUCCUGCAGUGCACAGGAUAGCCUCCACAAGAAUUGUGUGCCCAAGAUGUCAACAGUGCUGAGACUGAGAAACCCUAACCUGGACUGUAGUGGUGGGAGUGGGACAAAAAAUCAGAUAUGGGCUGGGCACGGUGGCUCAUGCCUGUAAUCCCACCACUUUGGGAGGCUGAGGCAGGUGGAUCACCUGAGGUCAGGAGUUCGAGACCAACCUGGCCAACAUGGUGAAACCCUUUCUGUACUAAAAAUACAAAAUUAGCUGCUUGUGGUGGCACAUGCCUGUAAUCCCAGCUACUCCGGAGGCUGAGGCAGGAGAAUCAUUUAGAACCUGGGAGGAGGAGGAGGUUGCAGUGAGCCAAGAUCGUGCCACUGCACUCCAGCCUAGAUGACAGAGCAAGACGCUGUCUCAAAAAAAAAAAAAAAAAAAAAAAAAAAGAGAGAGAGAGCGAGAGAUGGUAGAGAUUAUGAAGGUAAACUUGAUAGGCCUGGGUUAUUUGGCAGUGUUUUGGUGAGAGUACAAGGGGGCAAGGAUUAUUCUUUGGACACCACUCACAGUUAGAAAAGGGGCAGGAAGAGGGCUUACUUUUCAAAAGAGACAAUGGUGAGUUUGGUUUCAUACAUUUUUAGAUGGCAAUUCAGAUCUCUUGGAGGCAGUUGGAAGUGGGUGGAGAUUUGUCCACCCCGACUGCUGGUUCUUACAGCGGUUUAGGUUCAGAGGUUCGGGAUUUCUUCCUCUGUUUUGCUCACCUAAUUGUUUAGGGGUGGGAGACAGUGUCACAUAGACGGGGCAUGCACAUACAUAUCAGGACCUUGGUUGCUACAGUAGUUUUCAGUGUUUGUUAGUAAAAGUUAGUAGGAGACUGAGUCAUUUGGGGUCAUGAGUGUAGAGAACAAAUAACACCGAGUCCACAACCGAACGAGGAAGGAGCUGGCGUUUAUUGAGUGCCUAUUAUGUUCCUUUAACCAGGCAAAUCAUUUUCAUGGAAGAACUCAUUUGAUUCUUGCAACAACCUUGUGAAGUGGGUGUUAUUCUUGUUUAUUUUUAUUUUUAUUUUUUGAGACAGAGUCUCGCUCUGUCGCCCAGGCUGGAGUGCAGUGGUGCAGUCUCGGCUCACUGCAACCUCCACCUCCCAGGCUCAAGCGAUUCUCCUGCCUCAGCCUCCUGGGUAGCUGGGACUACAGGCAUAUGCCACCACCACACUCGGCUAAUUUUUGUAUUUUUAGUAGAGGCGGGGUUUCACCAUAUUGGCCAGGCUGGUCUUGAACUCCUGACCUUGUGGUCCGCCCACCUCGACCUCCCAGAGUGCUGGGAUUACAGGCUUAUUCUUGUUUACUAACUAAGAACUUGAUAGCAGAGCAGUUAAAUAAUUUAUUUGUGAAUAUUCGUAUCUCUCCCUUACUAUUAUUCACAUCCCAGCUCUUACCUUCUCUGGUCAUGUGGUUUGGGAGCAGGGUGAGGAAUAAAAUUCAGUUGGUCUGAUUUUGACUUGCCCAUAGUUCUUAUGAACAGUAGGGAUUUUAGAAUAUCUGAUUUUGAGUUACGUAUCAACUUCCUCCUUUGCGUAGUAAGUAGUUAAAUGUAUGAUGAUGUCUUGAAACACAGCCACUUCAGAGAAAGAGGGAGAUUCUUGUAGUUGGUAUUCAGGGCACACACAGAUACAGUUUUUCUUUAUUACCACUGUCAAAUGUUUUAAGGUGUGUUCAUUACAUUUGCUUUGGAAUAGCAGAGGAAAAUCUAUUCUGAGUUUAAGAGUUUGUUUUUGAAGACAGAAUAUCAAUAGACAAAGUGAAGGAGUGGAUGCUUUGUAAAAUUAUGCUCCAUGCCACAUAACAGCAAGAUGAGGGGGAGAAAAAUCUGGCUCAUAGGAUUUAAUCAUGAGGAAUUUUGCUGUCUGCUGAGCAAGAAAAUAUUCAGUGUUGUGGCUUAAAAGUCAGCUUUUCCCAAAGUAGUUUAUUUUAUUUUUUAAAGAUUAGGAAAGAUGUACUAUUUACCACACUAAUCAGAAUGUUUUCUUAGCUUUCACCAAAAGCUUCUGUUUUGGGAAAUGUCUUAAAACUUCAUACAGACUUUGAAUGCAUAAUAGGUUGAUAAAAGGUUCCAGUACUAACUGUUCUUUCAUUGAGGUUUGUAAGCAAUGUACCUUGUUAAUGAAGCUGAAAAUCUUUAGAUCAUUUGUGUUGAGCAAUAUCUUGUUAGAAUAUUUGCAUAACACAUAAAUUUAAUGGGGAAAAGCAAUAACAGUGAAACAAACCAUUUUGUUUUUCUCUUGAAACUUGUUUAAAUCAAUUACAAGAUCUGGCAUUAGUGAGAAGUUUAAAAAUAGGAAAGCAGAGCUCAUUUCUGUGUUGAAAGUUAUAAACUUAACAAGUCUCAGGUUUGUUAUUCUGGAGUAGUGGUUUUUAGUUCUGAAUCACUAAAAUAAUUGUAAUAAACUACAGAAAUAAUCUUGCCUUAAUCACUUACCUAUACACAGUUGAAAAAGAUACUGUUUGUGAAAGAAGUCACAGUCAAUGUCCUUCUGUAGUGUCCUAUUUAUUUACUUUUAAAAUUUCUGUCUUCUUGAGUUUCUUGUGCUAGUUUCAGUCAUUUUGUUUGUUUGUUUGUUUUAAUCAAUAGCCCAGAGUUAGAGUUUUAGUAUAUUGGGAAUUCAUGCCAAACAUUUGAUGGAGCGACACAAGAGCAUGAGAAGCUGGUAUAAAGAGCACUAACUGGGAGGCAAGUUCCAGUUCUGGCAUUAGCUAACUUUGUGACCCUGAACAAAUCACAGAAUGUCUGAUUUAGCUAUGGGAUUGGGUUUUCAUGAUUUCUGACUCAAAUGAGAGUAUCUUUGUGUAGGAGCGGCUAAUCUAUUCUAGCCACACCUCUUUAAAAGUAGCACAAAGUCGGCCGGGUGCGGUGGCUCACGCUUGUAAUCCCAGCACUUUGGGAGGCCCAGGCGGGCGGAUCACGAGGUCAGGAGAUCGAGAUCACGGUGAAACCCCGUCUCUACUAAAAGUACAAAAAAAUUAGCCGGGCGUGGUGGCGGGCACCUGUAGUCCCAGCUACUCGGAGAGGCUGAGGCAGGAGAAUGGUGUGAACCCGGGAGGCGGAGCUUGCAGCGAGCCGAGAUCGCGCCACUGCACUCCAGCCUGGGUGAGAGAGCGAGACUCCGUCUCAAAAAAAAAAAAAAAAGUAGCACAAAGUCUUGUGGUUAAUUGCUCCACUAUCUUGACACUGGAACAGGAUUAUUUGACAUUCUUUGAGGAAUAUAAAGAGCAGAUACAUACAAGAGGAAACUGAUGAAAGGGUCAUAAAUCCAUGGGUGCUUAGUUCUUCAAGGCCGUGAGAAUUUGAAAUGGGUGAUAAGACUUGUCAUUUCUGAUGUUUUCCCUUAUAUAUGUUUUAUUUUCUGUAGCCUUUCCUAUUAUAGAUGCAUCUUCACUCAUCUUUUCCCUCUGUGUAAGAAAUUUGUCUAAUGGAAGUUAAACUGUAUACCAGAUUUCAUUGAGGUUUGAUAAAUUCUAAGACUUAGGCUUUUUAAAAUUAAGAAUACUACAUCUCUUCUCCAUUUUGUUUCAAGAAUUAGCCAGGUGUUGAAUUUGGGGGUCUGUCUCAUUAAAUAAUGAAGCCCGAAUUUAUUAGUCUAUCUCUUUUGGGUUGUUGAUUCCAUUGAGAUUCUGCUGCACACACUGGACAUCAUCUUAGAAAACAUAGUUCCAGGGGACUGUUGUGGGGUGGGGGGAGGGGGGAGGGACAGCAUUAGGAGAUAUACCUAAUUCUAAAUGACGAGUUAAUGGGUGCAGCAAAACAACAUGGCACAUGGAUACAUAUGUAACAAACCUGCACAUUGUGCACAUGUACUCUAAAACCUAAAGUAUAAUAAUAAUAAUAAAAAGCGGAAAAAAAAAAGAAAACAUAGUUCCACAGAAUUUUGCACUUAAUUUGUGAUUUCCAACCUUCCCCUAAUUGAGUCAAGCUCAUCUUAUGGACGUCUACAUUAAUUCAAUUUUAAGGAAGAGCAGGCUGACCUGUGAAAUGCUAAACAUUUCUUUGUCUUAAAUCAGUUUUAAAUACUUUGAACAAAGACCUCCUUGUGGCUGUUCUUUGUAUUGGGGGUAUACAUGCAGUGGUGAAGGAUCAAGACAUCUUCUCUGACUUGUGCCAAUGUCAAAAAGAAAAAGAACUGGCCAGGCAUGGUGGCCUGCACCUGUAGUCUCAGUUACGUGAGAGGCAGAGGCAGGAGGAUCACUUGAGCCUGGGAAGUCGAGGCUGCAGUGAGACAGUGAGACAUAGUAGACAUAGUAGUGUCAUUGCACUCCAGCCUGGGUGACAGAGCAAGUCUCCGUUCCCCGCCCCACCACCACCCCCCUCUUCCCCCCACAAAAAAGAGGAAAAAAGGAACUGUGUACAAUAAUAGAGAAUCAUUGGGUGGUAGAAUCAGAGGAGGUAGUGGGGACCUACUUAGGUGUAAGGGAAGGCGCCUUAGAGGACGCCUGGAUGGGGGGUCAGGGGAGGGAGAACAAGGUGUUUCAUAUUGAGAGAACUGGGAAGGGCCUGAGGCUGUGAAGAACGCAGUGUGAAGAGCACAGUGUGUUUAAGGAACUGAAACUAUGGACAAGAGGGGAGAAUGGCGGGGACUGCAUAAGGCAGGCCCUUGUACUCAGUGAUAAGGAAUUUGGAUUUUAGUGGAAAUAUACUAAAAGUUUUUAUUUGGGGGUGUAGCAUCAUCUGAAUUAUACUUUAAAAGAUCAUGCUGACUGAUGUAUGAGCAAAAAGAAUACUGGGGGCAAGUGGAAGCAGAUAGGCUAGUGGAUAUGCAGCAGUCCAGGCAGCAGACAGCAAUGGCUUAGAUUAGCAAGGUGGCAGUAGGAUAGAGAGCAGUGGACAUAUCUGAGAAUUUUUUAGGUGGUAGAAAUAUGAAGGCAUAAAUAGGGUUGGAUAUGGAACAUAAGGGAGGGGAAAGAACUCAAGGAUGUUGCUGGAAGUUGCCGCUAUUGGAUGGUUGGAAGAGGAGUGGAUUUUGGGGGGGUUGUUUCGUGGGAGAGGUAAGGGUGAAUUCAGCAGUUCCCCUUUUGUCUAUCUUAGUUCUCAGAAGCCUGUAAGAUUGUCAAGGAGGCCUGUUAGAGAGAUCGAUACAUCUUUAGGAAUUCAGAGAUACUUGGCUUAGAGAUGUCAGUUUGAAGAUUGUCACUAUGUUAGUGAUACUUAAGGUAAUGAAAAUGAAUGAAAUAAUUGAAGGAAAGAUUAUAAAGAAGAAAGAAAGAUUGACUAGAAUUGGAAUCCUGAGGAAUGCUGAACAUUUCCAAGUUGGGUAAACUGGAAGGCUUCUUGGAAGGAGGCUAGGAAGCACACAAUCAGAGUGGUGCAAAUUGGGAAUGUGUAAGGUACAGUAUUAUCAUGUCAUGGAUGCCAAAUAAUGCAAGUAUUUCAAGGCGGGUGGGUAGUCAGCUGUAUUGAGUUUCACUGAGAGGCUGAGAACAUGUGGGCAGGAAUGUGGCCAUUGGAUUUGGCAACCUGGAAGUUAUUAGUAACUUCAGUGAGCCAGUUUCAUGGACUAGUGUAGAUGGAUGCCAGAUUUGAGUGAUUUGAGGGAUAAAUGAUGGCUGAGGAACUAGAGACAGGGUGUAUAGGUAGCUUUUAAAGAAGUUUGCCUAUGAAAGGGAAUAUAUACAGGGUAGAAGCUAGAGAUGUAUGAGGAUAUAAAGGAAAUCUUUUUGUUUGUUUCUUUUUGAGUGUGAGAAAUUCUGCAGAAUGAUUUUAGUUGUUAGGAUUGCUAAGAUAAGGGAGAUGAGAAGUCCUUGAGAAAGCAGGAGUGGUCAGGAUCCUGACUGCACAGAGUCCUUUGAUAGGAAGGGGAUACUUUCUCCGUUUUUUUUUCUUUUUCUUUUGUGAUGGAUUCUCACUCUGUCGCCCAGGCUGGAGUGCAAUGGUGUGGUCUUGGCUCACUGCAACCUCCGCCUCCCAGGUUCAAGCGAUUCUCCUGCCUCAGCCUUCAGAGUUGCUGGGAUUACAGGUGCCCACCACCACGCCUGGCUGAUUUUUGUCUUUUUAGUAGAGACAAGGUUUCACCAUGUUGGCCAGGCUGGUCUCGAACUGCUGACCUCGUGAUCUGCCCUCCUUGGACUCCCAAAGUGCUGGGAUUACAGGCAUGAGCCACUGUGCCCAGCCACUUCCUCAGUUUUAACAGUGGGGAAGAAAGAACAACAUGGUUACAGACGCAAGUAGGAAUAUAGAUUUAGUGGGUGGAAUAUAGAUUUAGUGGGAGGAUGUUCUGGCCUAAUGGCUUUUAUUUGUUUUUUACAAACUGAGGUGGGAUUAACAGUGUAGUAGUGACAUAAAAUCUUAAUAUGAAAGUAAGAAAAAAAUACAUUCACAUUAGCUUUAAAGAGGCCUAACAUACUUACGAAUAAACUUAAGAAAAGAGUCACCAAGAUUUUUUAUUUAAAACUACAAAACAGGGCUGGGCACAGUGACUUACGCCUGUAAUCCUAGCACUUUGUGAGGUCGAGGCGGGCAGAUCACUUGAGCCCAGGAGUUUGAGACCAAUCUGGGCAACAUAGGGAGACCCCUGCCUGUAAAAAAAGAUAAAAUAAAUUAGCUGGGUGUGGUGGUGUGCACCUGUGGUCCCAGCUACUUGGGAGGCUGAGGCAGGAGGAUGGUUUAAGCCUGGGAGGCAGAGGUCAGGGAGGCAGAGGUCAGAGAGACCCGAGAUUGCGCCAGUGGACUCCAUCCUGGGCAACAGAGCCAGACCAUGUCUCAAAAAAAAAAAAAAAAAGGAAAAGAAAAGAAACAAAUAAUUGGGCUUUAUUAAAUAUUUUUAAAACUUUUACACUUGAGAGGAUCCUUAAGAAAGUAUAAAAAGAUAAGCUGCAGAUUGGGGAGAAAUAUUUGCAUAUUAUAAACAUGGUAAAGGUCUUUAAUCUAGAAUAUGUUUGAAAAAUCUUACAACUCACUUAUAAAGAAAAAAAAAAAAACUGGGCGAAAGCCCAUUCUUAGGCUUAAGCCCAUUAAAUAGGUAUUUCACCAAAGACGACAAUAAGAAUGGCCAAUAAGCAUAUGAAAAGAUGUUAACACCAUUAAUCAUUAGGGAAAUGCAAAUUAAAUCACAGUAAUAUACUAUCACGCACUGACCAGAGUGGCUAUAAUUAAAAAGACUGACAAUACCUAGUAUUUGUAUUGUUGAGAAACUGGAACCCUUAGGCACUUCUUGGGACUGUAAAUGACACAGCCACUUUGGGAAACAGUUUGGCUUUUUCUUAAAAAGUUAAGCAUAAAUUUGCCAUAGCAACCAGCAGUUCCACUCUUAGGAACCUGCCCAAGAGAAAUGAAAAUACAUGUGCAAAUAAAGAAAGGUAUGUACAUAUCUGUUAGCAUUAUUCACAAUAGUCAAAAACUGGAAAACAAUUCAAAUAUCCAUCACAUGCUGUUUGAAUAAAAUGCGGAAAACUAUUCUGCAAUAAAAAAGAAACAAAUUAGUGAUAUAUGUUAUAACAAACAUGAAUGUCAAAAACAUGGCUCUGGGCAACAUAGCAAGACCCUGUCCCAAAAAAUUAAUAAAUAAAAUUAGCCAAAUGUGAUGGCACCCGCAUAUCAUUGAAGCUAUUCUUGGAAGGCUGAGGAAAGAGGAUAGCUUAAGCCCAGGUGUUUGAGGCUGCAGUGAGCUGUGUUCACGCCACUACACUCCAGCCUGGGUGACAGAGCAAGACCUCAUCUGUAAUAACAACAUGCUAACUGUCAAACCAAAUAUAAAAGAGUACAUAGUGUGUGGUUACAUUUAUAUGGACUGUCUACAAAAAGCAAAUCUAUAGAGAUACAGCAGAUUAGUGGUUGCCUGAGGCCACAGCAAGAGAAAUGGUCUGGAGGAAAAUACUUGGGUGACAGAAAAAUUCUAAAAUUAGAUUGCAGUGAUAGUGCUCUAUACACUCUAUAAUUUUCUUAAAACUCAAUGAAUUGUACACGUACGAUGGUUGAAUUUUAUGGUGUAUAAAUUAUACUUCAAAGCUAUGAAUUAAAAAUUACAAAAUAGUCAUCUUGGAGAAUGUAAAGGUUGAGUGUAGUGGAGAAUGAAGGACUGUGUACUGCUUACAUAGUUUAAUUACAAAACUUCAGCAUAAUGUAAUCUGGCAUUUGAUAAAAGAUUUAAAUUUUGAAAGAUGAUGUACUGAUAGAUUUUUACGUGUAGAGGAGAUUGCCAUAUCUCAUCUUCCAAGAUUCAUUAGAACUGAGUAUAUUUACAUUACAUUAGCAUGAAGCUAACAUUUAUUCACUGUUCUGUGUGACAGGGACUGCUCUGCAUGCUUUAUAUGUGUUAUUUUACAAGUACAUUAUUUAUUGACCUUAGAAGGGGCUAAAAAUAAUAUGAUUUAGAAUGAAGACGAGUUUCCAUCUAUUGACCUUUGGUGGUAUGAUGAAUUUUUGUACACUUAACUCAGAUAUCUUAAUAUUAUGGGAAAUUACAGAAAUACAACACCUCAAAGAAUAAUGCGAGUUUGAAGUAGUCAUGACUGACAAGUAAUAAUUUUAAUGAAAUAGUAGUUUCACUCUACAGGACUAUUUUGGGUUGCUUUGUCCACUGAAAUAAUCACUGUCACUAUCAUGAAUCUUUUUGUGGGCCAUUCUAAUGUUACUUAAAGGGACUGAUUUGGUGUCUUUGUAUUUUGAAAUAGCUGUAUUCAAUCUGAGUUUACAUAAGUAGCUAGAUCUUGGGCCCAAUCCUCACAAUUGUAAUAGCAUGUUCCUUUGGAGAAAAAAAAAAUUGCAUAAAGUGAUUAUUGCUUCUUUUUGUCCAUGGGUUAUGCAAAAUGUCUUACUUGGAAAUAGAAAUAUCUAUAUCCUUGAAACAAGAAAUCAUUAUCUGGAAACUAAGAGUAUACUAGUUUUUCUUGGUGUCUCAUUUGUGACUGAAAGGAUCAGAGGUUUGACUUCAAAGUGUUUAUUGAUACUGUAUAUUAAUAGCUGAUUUAGAAGGAUGCAUAUUUUUUCUGAAGCACUUCAUUAUGUUCCAUAGAAAAGUAAUUACAACACCCUAGUAAUUUUCUGUGUCAGCAAGUAUUGAGUGUAGUCAAAAUAGCAUAGACUUUGGAAUAUGACAGUUCUAGAUUUUGAAUCUCCAGUUGGUGCUUAUUAACUUCUCAUCUUUUGUAAGUACUUAACCUCUCUUGAGAUCUCAUUUCCUCGUCUGUAAACUGAAGCUAAUACCAUUUCUGAAGGUUUUUUUUUUUUUGAGACGGAGUCUGGCUCUGUCCCCCAGGCUGGAGGGCAAUGGCACAAUCUCGACUCACUGCACCCUCCGCCUCCCAGGUUCAAGUGAUUCUCCUGCCUCAGCCUCUCAAGUAGCUGGGAUUACAGGUGCCUGCAACCGCGCCCAGCUAAUUUUCGUACUUUUUAGUAGAGAUGGGGUUUCAUCAUGUUGGCCAGGCUGGUCUCCAACUCCUAACCUCAGGUGAUCCUCCGCCUUGGCCAUUUCUGAAGUUUUAAUACUACCAAACUGAUAGUGCCUGGUUCUUAGAAGGUGAUCAAGUAAGUUUCACUCACUCAAGCUCUGCUUUAUAGGAGAAAACACAGAAUUUGUGUAAUCUUGGCUUUAGUACUACAGAAAAUUGUCUGUUGUUCUUCAAACCUAGCUUUAUACCUUUCGUUGAUUUUGUUGUGUGAACUUAAUAAUGCUUUCGCAACCCUUUUAUUCUGUCAGUAAGCCUUUUGUUUUGCCCUUUCACUGGAUAAUGAAUUUGAGGGUUUGCUCUCUUGAAGUGAAGUUUACCACUAGAGGACUCAAAGAAUGAUUCUGAGGUUUUGAGCCUACAGAAUGGUGAUGCCAUUAACAUGGAAAUAAAGAAGCAGAGGGCAGGGUGGGGGGUUUGGGGAGAAGAUAACGUGGUGAAUUUUGUAUGUGCUGAGUGUGAUGCCGUGUUCAUUACUUCUGGGCAGCAGAGUUAGGAGGGCAUUUGAAAGCUUGAGAGUAGUAGCUGGGUGGCUUUAGAAGCGUGUGCAGACUUAGUGGUGGUUCCUGAGUGAGGCUGUUCACUAAAAAUGAGGACUGCAAGCCUAAUUUUUUUUUUUUUUUUUUUUUGAGACAGGGUCUCACUCUGUCACCCAGGCUGGAGUGCGGUGGCAUGGCAUGAUCAUUGCUCACUGCAGCCUCAACCUCCCAGGCUCAAGGGAUCCUCCCACCUCAGCUUCCCAAGUAGCUAGGACUACAGGCACAUGCCACCAUGCCCAGCUAAUUUUUGUAUUUUUUAGCUGUUGUUAAACUCCUGGACUCAAGCGAGGAUUACAGGCGUGAACCACCAUGUCCGGCCUUAAAGUCUUUAUAUUUGAAAUACCUUUCAGAGUUAAUUAACUCUGAUAUUGUCCCAGAGAUUUAGGUUUCUGUUUUCACUUAAGACCUCAGGAGUUUUCUGAAACUUUCUUGAAACUGUUAGGAAGGCCAUGUGGGUGUGGAAGUAUAAUGUCUCUUCAUCUGAAAUUAGGUCAGCCUCCAAAGACUUGAAUCUUGGAUGUUAAACCCAAAGGCACCUUACAUUUUAAACUCAAAACACAUUUGGACAUUUAAUAUAAGAGGUUUUAGCUAUUUGUAUAAGCAACCGCUAAACACCUGGACACAUAGUCAUUGUAUUUAGCUGAGGAGUGAGCCUUGGAGCUGAAGAAUCUAGCCUACCUCUUCACAUCAGCAUCUCAUUUGCAGCUUUGUGAUUCUCAUGUAACACAGGAUCUCAUUUAAUCCUUGUAAUAAGCGUGCCAUUUCAUUAUCAAUAGGAAAGUGUAUGCUCUUACGAUAUUCAAGAAUUGAUAGAUUCUUGAAGGUUUGUAGACAGAUUUCUUGAGGUUUAGUUAACCUGUGGCAUUGCUGUACCAUUUGUUCAGGGCAUGGAUCUAUUGAAUUCCUAUUCUCCAUAUAUUCAGAAUUUUUUUUUCAAUUCAAUACCCUAUAAUUACACCUUUCAUUAAUUCAACAAACACCAUUAAACAACUGCUGUGCUCCAGGGUAUGUACCUAGGGCACUGGGUUUGCAGAGGUGAGUGAAGGAGACAUGGUUCCUGUCCUGGAAAACGGAAUCUUCUAAGCUCCAAGGGGUCACUGUGCCUGUCUGCUUCCUGACUGUACUCCUGGCACAUUGUCAGUAGUGAAUAUUUGUUGAAUGAGUGAACAUGAUUUAUCUUUUUUCCCCAGAAAUAUGUUUGCUUAUCUCUAACCUUAAUAUACAUUGCCAGCCAAUUCAAAUGAUAGUAAUAAUUAAUGCUGAUGUAGUGCCUACUAUAUCAGCAUUGUUUGUGGCCCUUUAUAUAUGAUAAUUCAUUUUACUUUCAAUGAUCUGAAGUGGAUACAGUUUAUUAUCUCUAUUUUUAAAAUGACACAGAGGAUAAUUAACUUCUCUACGAUUACACAGCUAGUAAGUCGUAGAGCUGGGAUUUAAGUAGUCCUGCUUUAAACUACUACACUCUAUGUAUGUUUCAUGGAGGCUUAAGAGUGAAAGUCAGAUUACUUUCUGACAAGCUUGUGUAUUACUCCUUCAAAAAUGUUUUCUUAUUCAGAGUUUGAUUCCCAGUAGAAUUUUUUUACAGUCUUUAUAUUAUUGCUGAGGUUGUAUUAAACUUACUGUAUUUUUUCUUAGGAUCCAGAGCAAAUUCUUCCUACAAUGAAUUCUACAUUGAGAUAUUUACAGACUAACUAAUUUUAUAGUCCUUUGGUUUCCUUCAUAAUUUUUAUCACAGGCUUACUUACCUAAAUUUGAAUCAUCAAGUUAUAUCUCUAGAAUGUUGUAUCAUCUUUCAUGAAUUAGAAAGGUCUUUUAAAUAAUUUUUGAACUUUCACUUAAAAUACCAUGUGUUUUUUGUUUUUUAGUUUGACAUCCUACUUGAACUUUUUCCUGAUCAUCCCAACCAGAUAACCCCUCCUUCUGUAGUCUCCCAACUCUAUUCUGUAUGUUUGCACUUGUAUACAAUUUGUACUUUAGGUUAUUCUUCCUGUGUAUCUGUUUCCCUUGAUAGGUGGCAAACAAUUUGAGGGUAAGUUUUAGCCCUGUUUGUUUCCUUUAUUAUCACUUCGUUCCUGUUAGGCACUCACUCAAAACCUAUUAGACUGCUUAGUUGGUGCUUUAGAACUUCAUUCCUCAUCAGUACAUUGAUGGGUCCUAGCCUAGCCUCUUCAUUCUAUCAUACCACUUAAAAAAUUCCAAAUUAUAAUUAAUGAGUUUUUUUCAACAGUAUGGAACUCUGAGACCAGACUGCGUAGUGCUUUCAAUUAGACUGUGAAUAUUCUCGUUAAUACUUUUAAAGUUGGUGAGGUGAUGCUAGUCAAACACACUGAGCAUGCUUGCUAAUAACUUUAAGGAAUUGUUACGUCAAGGCUGUUCUCUUAAUUUUUUUUUUUUUUUUUUUAGUGGUUUCGUGGCUCACUUUAGUAGUAAACUCACAUGCAUUUCUCUGCCCUGCAGAGGCAUAAUUUUCAAUUGUUGACAGUGAGCAAGCAGUGGUAGACAAGCAUGUAGUCUGAAUAAGAAAACAGGUCAGUGGAGUUUCUCAUUUAAUUUAGUUAACUCUUUUGGAGGGAAGGUAUAGCAUGCCCAUAAAAUGAAUGGUGAUAACAGAGAGCAUUUCAAAUCUGAGUAGUCAUGCGUAAUCAGCCUUAAAAGCUUCUACCAACCCACUGCUACAUCUCACAGGCUUGUUUCUGAUUAUUCUCCUAAUAGGGACUUUGUGUUCCUUCCCAGCAGAUCUGUUUUUCUGUUUCUCACACAGCUUUUACUUGUUCUUUAUCUAUUCUUCUUUAUCAUGUAACUUCCCUCAUCUACAGGACUCUCUCCUCACUUUCGUGCUUAUUCCGCCCCCCUUUUCAAAACAUGGCUUAAUUGACUUUUGUAGGUUUUGGAAAUUAAUUUGAACAACUUCACUCUCACUGAGACCAGUUUCCCUCCUGCCUAUCCUUUUGUAUAUGUUUUGUACUGUAUUGAUUUUUGUUCAUUUAUGCUGUUGCUUGGUGUGUUUAUGCCAUUGCUUGGCUGCUUCUGCAGUAUCUCUAUAUCCCAGCAAUAUUGUGAGCAAGUUGUGAAUAAAACUCAGAUUUCUUUUCUUUCUUGAUGUGCAGAACAGCAAAAACACAUAAUAGAUGUUUAGAAAACAUAGGCAACUUUUUAGGGCAAGCCAUUUGCUUAGCCCUGCUUUGCUGUGCAUUCAUAGACGUGAUUGGGAUGAUGACUUAAGGCAAUUCUGGGCUCCUCACCCAGGGAAGUGAAAAGUGGGGGUGGUGAAGCUUGAAGCCUUGGAUGUUCCACUGCCUAGCACUAUGGGUACUCUCUCCCCACCCCAAUCAACAUUCUGGGCAUGAGAAGAGAAGGAGGCAGUAAGAACAGAACAAUAGCACAGAAUUCUCUGAGGUCUGACUUCGCUGCUUUGCUGACAAGACGUUGCUGCUUUCCGCUCCCUCCCUUUCAGGAUCUUUUUCCCUUACCUACCCCCACUUUUUUUUAUAUAUAGCAGAGUGAUUGUAAGACAUUUUUUAAAAACUGGUAAUUUAUUGGCAACUAAAAAAAUAAAUUAUGGUAGAAUCUGGAUACCUUGGCACUAUAGCGUAUACUUUUUUUUCAUAAAAUAUAAUGAGGCACAACUAAUGCAGAGUUCCAGUGUGCCUGGCUGCAAGUGGAGGCCCACAAGUCAAUUUAGAGAUGAGGGUGCUGGGUUGGGUCAUGGUACACACAGGAUUUCACACAUUCCCUAGCACAGGCCACUGAGACAUGUGCCAUGUCAGAAUUACAGAUUGUACUACUUGUCAUUAUCUCAUAGGAAUAGUAGAAACUGCAGAUCUUAAACCUUUGAAAGCUAAUGACCCACUGUAUUCUGUGCCUUCAUUCAGAACACUGAAGAAUUAAUGGCUGGUGGAAGGGAGCUUAUGGUUAGAUUUUUUCUGUUUACCACCCACAGUUUUGAACCCUGAGAGAUAGAAAUCUUUUACUUCCCUAAGUACAUUUCCCUCUAAGAUUUGAUUCUGGAGUGAAUCCAAACUUAGCGUUUCUCACUAGCACUUAACAAAUGGCAAAAAGGGAAUUGUCAUAGUUACUAAUUGUAUUGUUUCAUGGUUAUUUUCUACAUAAUGUUCCUUUUUGCUUCUGGUGUUACUCAUUUGACCCUGCACACCCAUCUAGCUGCCUUCCUAUUUUUCUUCUUCCUUUUACUGCCAAAUAACAAAUGACCUGAUUUAUUCUCUACUGCCCGUAACCUGGGCACUAGUAAUCUAACUUUUAUUUUUAUUUUCUGAUUUAUCUUUUGAGACAGGGUCUUGCUCUUUCACCCAAGCUGGAGUGCAAUGGCAUGAUCUUGGUUCACUGCACCUCUGUUACCUGAGCUUAAGUGAUCCUCCCACCUCAGCCUCCCAAGUAGCUGGGACUACAGGUGUGCACCACCAUGCCCGGCCUUUUUUUUGGUAUUUUUAUUAGAGAUGGGGUUUCGCCAUGUUGGCCAGGCUGGUCUCGGACUCCUCAGCUUAAAAGCAAUCUGCCUGCAUUGGCCUCCCAAAGUGCUGGGAUUUUAGGUGUGAGCCACUGUGCUUGAUGUAAUUUAACGUUUAUAUUCCCCCCCUCCCCCCCUUUUUAAAGAUAUUCUUAAAGUUCAUUGUUAUCCUAAUCACCACAUCCAGUGACCUUUCACUUUCCUUGCAAUUGGCAGUGAAUCACUUCUUGGUGGAUAUUGUCUCUUCUUGUUCAUCAUGGAGCUGAAAUACUCUGUCUUUAACAUCCUGAUUGUCUUCCUGCUGUCUGGUUUGGAGUCAGCUUUGACUCCUCUUUUCCAUUUAUCCAACUUACAAAGUCCUUCAGAUUCUCUUUGAAAGGACUUAGCCAUUCUUUUCUGUUCUUAGUGUUACUCUAAUCCAAGCUCUGAAUGCCUCAUUGAUAAACUACUAUAGUGGCCUCCUAAAUCUUAAGCUUUUCUGUGAUUGCUGAAGAAUAGAUUAGUGAAUUAUAAAUUAUAUGCUACUCUUCUGAAAUGUUCAGUGAAAAUUAGUGUGGCAUUUAGAGCCUUCAUCAUCUAGCUUCAGUGUACCACCUAGCCACCACUACGGUCCUUGCAUUGACCUAUUGGCACCCUGAAUUGUAUUGCCUCUCUUGUUUUGACUAAUAAAAAACCUGCCCAUUCUUUAAGGUCUAGAGAUGAGGUACUUACUAAAAAAAAAAAAAUCCCAAU
Symphalangus syndactylus (siamang) is the source of this 18170-nucleotide long non-coding RNA. RefSeq lists it as uncharacterized. Lineage: Eukaryota; Metazoa; Chordata; Mammalia; Primates; Hylobatidae. The record is from RefSeq and is a predicted model, not a curated record.